GUGCCAGCCGCCGCGGUAAUACGGAGGGUGCAAGCGUUGUCCGGAUUUCUUGGGUUUAAAGGGUGCGUAGGCGGCCAUUUAAGUCAGAGGUGAAAUCCCGUGGCUCAACCACGGAACUGCCUUUGAUACUGUAUGGCUUGAGUUCGGUAGAGGCGGGCGGAACGGUUGGUGUAGCGGUGAAAUGCAUAGAUACCACCAAGAACCCCGAUUGCGUAGGCAGCUCGCUGUGCCUGAACUGACGCUGAGGCACGAAAGCGUGGGGAGCGAACAGGAUUAGAAAGCCUAGUAGGCC
Molecule: ribosomal RNA, 292 nt
Filed under: uncultured bacterium
Lineage: Bacteria
Description: partial 16S ribosomal RNA
Rfam family: Bacterial small subunit ribosomal RNA
Source: RNAcentral